GCGGGGAUAGCCAAGCCUGGUCAACGGCGAUAGACUCAAGAUCUAUUCUCGCAGGAGUUCGUCGGUUCAAAUCCGGCUCCCCGCA
RNAcentral lists this transfer RNA (85 nucleotides) under Methanoregula sp. Its description in RNAcentral is "tRNA-Leu". It matches the Rfam family "tRNA". From Rfam's summary of the family: Transfer RNA (tRNA) molecules are approximately 80 nucleotides in length. RNAcentral also lists the same sequence under 2 other names. The record is from RNAcentral. Lineage: Archaea; Methanobacteriati; Methanobacteriota; Methanomicrobia; Methanomicrobiales; Methanoregulaceae.